CCGGGCCGGGAAGCGAGGCGGGAACGUGCCCCGCGGUCAGAGUGAACGGAGAAGGGUGACACCGCGACAGGACGCGAUAAGAAAACCUGAUGCCCCGAGCACGUUAGUUUUGGAGAAGCACGUGGUCUGUAUAGCUUCGUAUGGGACAUUGAAAGGCGACUGUGACUAAAAUAAUGCCCUGCUUAGGGGCGCAGUCUAUCGGGAGUGUUUGAGGAUGAACAGUGUUUCCUGGGGGCAGACAGCAGCAGAUCUCGUGGGACGGCUGCACCGAAUGAAGACAGACAAAUUCUGGCAUUCAUCAAACUAUGUCAGGAUGAAUGUGGUGGAAUAAGUGCCAGCAGAGGUCACGAUCCUCAUCUUCUGUUGACCCUUAGCACGUCCAGGUAAAUGUAACAGCGUAGUUGUUGAAACAACCACUUUUAGUUAAUGAUUUUGAUGAUUGCAGACUUACGAACUGGGUGCUGUUAGAUGCCAAUGGCAAAAACUAUUUCAGUACGUUAUUGAAAAAAAAAUAAUGUAACAGGCAAAACUUUAGGAUUCGUCUUCUAAAAAAAUUGUCAGAUGUGGGAACAUUGUGCUUUUAAUGAUGAUCAUCAACUGGUGAUGUCUGCAUUCUUCAUGAAUUUUGUAGCAGUCUUCUCAAAAUAUUUCUUAGCUAUAGGCUUUAAUGGAAUUUUAUAGAUAAUCACUUUUUUUAUUUUACGAAUACUUCUUGGUGUACAUUGAGGUGAAAGAUGCGUAUGGCCAGAGGAAGAGUAAAGGUUUGGAUUUUAUAGAUAUUUAUACACACAGAAAUACAUAUUACCGUAUAUUAAAAUAUAUUUAAAUAAUUAUGUAAUGAUUGUAUGAACUAUACAUUUAUUUAAUACAUAUACUUUUUAUACGCGUAGUGUGUUUACACUUUAGUACUAUACAAAAGAAAUGUUGUAGUCAGUACUUCGGCUGUUCCUCACAUCUGCUCUUUUUUAAUCUGUAUAACUUGCAAAUUAUACCAGUCUGUUGAGCAUUUUAUUUAUUUAAUUGGUGCCUACUUUCCUGCUGAGAAAAAAGGACUUACGUCUUGAUCUUACUUGUUCACCGUAGCUAUCUCUACUGUACAUUAAAUUUCUC
This is a long non-coding RNA of Aptenodytes forsteri (emperor penguin), 1110 nucleotides long. RefSeq lists it as uncharacterized. The transcript is spliced from 3 exons. The record is from RefSeq and is a predicted model, not a curated record. NCBI's taxonomy places the organism in Eukaryota, Metazoa, Chordata, Aves, Sphenisciformes, Spheniscidae.